RNAcentral lists this ribosomal RNA (1364 nucleotides) under Microbacterium paraoxydans. RNAcentral describes it as "bacterial SSU rRNA". It matches the Rfam family "Bacterial small subunit ribosomal RNA", at positions 68 to 1441 of the family's 1533-position model. Lineage: Bacteria; Bacillati; Actinomycetota; Actinomycetes; Micrococcales; Microbacteriaceae. The record is from RNAcentral.
GUGAAGCAGGAGCUUGCUCUUGUGGAUCAGUGGCGAACGGGUGAGUAACACGUGAGCAACCUGCCCCUGACUCUGGGAUAAGCGCUGGAAACGGCGUCUAAUACUGGAUAUGUGACGUGACCGCAUGGUCUGCGUUUGGAAAGAUUUUUCGGUUGGGGAUGGGCUCGCGGCCUAUCAGCUUGUUGGUGAGGUAAUGGCUCACCAAGGCGUCGACGGGUAGCCGGCCUGAGAGGGUGACCGGCCACACUGGGACUGAGACACGGCCCAGACUCCUACGGGAGGCAGCAGUGGGGAAUAUUGCACAAUGGGCGAAAGCCUGAUGCAGCAACGCCGCGUGAGGGAUGACGGCCUUCGGGUUGUAAACCUCUUUUAGCAGGGAAGAAGCGAAAGUGACGGUACCUGCAGAAAAAGCGCCGGCUAACUACGUGCCAGCAGCCGCGGUAAUACGUAGGGCGCAAGCGUUAUCCGGAAUUAUUGGGCGUAAAGAGCUCGUAGGCGGUUUGUCGCGUCUGCUGUGAAAUCCCGAGGCUCAACCUCGGGCCUGCAGUGGGUACGGGCAGACUAGAGUGCGGUAGGGGAGAUUGGAAUUCCUGGUGUAGCGGUGGAAUGCGCAGAUAUCAGGAGGAACACCGAUGGCGAAGGCAGAUCUCUGGGCCGUAACUGACGCUGAGGAGCGAAAGGGUGGGGAGCAAACAGGCUUAGAUACCCUGGUAGUCCACCCCGUAAACGUUGGGAACUAGUUGUGGGGUCCAUUCCACGGAUUCCGUGACGCAGCUAACGCAUUAAGUUCCCCGCCUGGGGAGUACGGCCGCAAGGCUAAAACUCAAAGGAAUUGACGGGGACCCGCACAAGCGGCGGAGCAUGCGGAUUAAUUCGAUGCAACGCGAAGAACCUUACCAAGGCUUGACAUAUACGAGAACGGGCCAGAAAUGGUCAACUCUUUGGACACUCGUAAACAGGUGGUGCAUGGUUGUCGUCAGCUCGUGUCGUGAGAUGUUGGGUUAAGUCCCGCAACGAGCGCAACCCUCGUUCUAUGUUGCCAGCACGUAAUGGUGGGAACUCAUGGGAUACUGCCGGGGUCAACUCGGAGGAAGGUGGGGAUGACGUCAAAUCAUCAUGCCCCUUAUGUCUUGGGCUUCACGCAUGCUACAAUGGCCGGUACAAAGGGCUGCAAUACCGUGAGGUGGAGCGAAUCCCAAAAAGCCGGUCCCAGUUCGGAUUGAGGUCUGCAACUCGACCUCAUGAAGUCGGAGUCGCUAGUAAUCGCAGAUCAGCAACGCUGCGGUGAAUACGUUCCCGGGUCUUGUACACACCGCCCGUCAAGUCAUGAAAGUCGGUAACACCUGAAGCCGGUGGCCUAACCC